RNAcentral lists this ribosomal RNA (434 nucleotides) under uncultured bacterium. Its description in RNAcentral is "partial 16S ribosomal RNA". It matches the Rfam family "Bacterial small subunit ribosomal RNA", at positions 29 to 507 of the family's 1533-position model. The record is from RNAcentral.
AGCGAACGCUGGCGGCAGGCCUAACACAUGCAAGUCGAACGAACCUUUCGGGGUUAGUGGCGGACGGGUGAGUAACACGUGGGAACGUGCCUUUAGGUUCGGAAUAACUCAGGGAAACUUGUGCUAAUACCGAAUGUGCCCUUCGGGGGAAAGAUUUAUCGCCUUUAGAGGGGCCGGCGUCGGAUUAGCUAGUUGGUUAAGGUAAUGGCUCACCAAGGCUAGAAUGAGUAGCUGGUCUGAGAGAAGGAGCAGCCACAUUGGGACGGGGCCACGGCCCAAACUCCUACGGGAGGCAGCAGAGGGGAAUCUUGCGAAAUGGGCGAAAGGCUGACGCAGCCAGGCCGCGUGAAUGAUGAAGGUCUUAGGAUUGUAAAAUUCUUUAACCGGGGACGAUAAUGACGGUACCCGGAGAAGAAGCCCCGGCUAACUUCGUG